RNAcentral lists this ribosomal RNA (429 nucleotides) under uncultured bacterium. RNAcentral's name for it is "bacterial SSU rRNA". It matches the Rfam family "Bacterial small subunit ribosomal RNA", at positions 355 to 796 of the family's 1533-position model. The record is from RNAcentral.
UCGAGAAUCUUCCACAAUGGACGAAAGUCUGACGGAGCGACACCGCGUGAUGGAUGAAGACCCUCUGGGUCGUAAACAUCUUUUAUGAGGGAGAAAGUUUAUUGAUAGUACCUCACGAAUAAGGGGUUGCUAAACUCGUGCCAGCAGCAGCGGUAAUACGAGUGCCCCGAGCGUUAUCCGGAAUCAUUGGGCGUAAAGGGUGUGUAGGUGGCAGUGUUAGUCAACUGUUAAAACCCGGGGCUCAACCCCAGAAGUGCGAUCGAAACGGCACAGCUAGAGGAUGGCAGGGAUCUGUGGAACUCAUGGAGUAGGGGUGAAAUCCGUUGAUAUCAUGGGGAACACCGAAAGCGAAAGCAGCAGAUUGGGCCACUCCUGACACUGAAACACGAAAGCGUGGGUAGCGAAUGGGAUUAGAUACCCCCGUAGUCC